RNAcentral lists this ribosomal RNA (460 nucleotides) under uncultured bacterium. Its description in RNAcentral is "partial 16S ribosomal RNA". It matches the Rfam family "Bacterial small subunit ribosomal RNA", at positions 338 to 795 of the family's 1533-position model. The record is from RNAcentral.
CCUACGGGUGGCAGCAGUGAGGAAUCUUGGUCAAUGGACGAGAGCCUGACCCAGCCAAGCAGCGUGAAGGAUGACUGCCCUAUGGGUUGUAAACUUCUUUUAUAUGGGAAUAAAACGUUCCACGUGUGGGAUUUUGUAUGUACCAUAUGAAUAAGGAUCGGCUAACUCCGUUCCAGCAGCCGCGGUAAUACGGAGGAUCCGAGCGUUGCCCGGAUUGGUUGGGUUUAAAGGGAGCGUAGGUGGAUUGUUAAGUCAGUUGUGAAAGUUUGGGGCUCAACCGUAAAAUUGCAGUUGAAACUGGCAGUCUUGAGUACAGUAGAGGUGGGCGGAAUUCGUGGUGUAGCGGUGAAAUGCUUAGAUAUCACGAAGAACUCCGAUUGCGAAGGCAGCUCACUGGACUGCAACUGACGCUGAGGCUCGAAAGUGUGGGUAUCAAACAGGAUUAGAUACCCGAGUAGUC